Molecule: ribosomal RNA, 1867 nt
Filed under: Staphylococcus aureus
Lineage: Bacteria; Bacillati; Bacillota; Bacilli; Caryophanales; Staphylococcaceae
Description: partial 23S ribosomal RNA
Rfam family: Bacterial large subunit ribosomal RNA
Source: RNAcentral
GUGAAAUUCCGUCGGAAUCUGGGAGGACCAUCUCCUAAGGCUAAAUACUCUCUAGUGACCGAUAGUGAACCAGUACCGUGAGGGAAAGGUGAAAAGCACCCCGGAAGGGGAGUGAAAUAGAACCUGAAACCGUGUGCUUACAAGUAGUCAGAGCCCGUUAAUGGGUGAUGGCGUGCCUUUUGUAGAAUGAACCGGCGAGUUACGAUUUGAUGCAAGGUUAAGCAGUAAAUGUGGAGCCGUAGCGAAAGCGAGUCUGAAUAGGGCGUUUAGUAUUUGGUCGUAGACCCGAAACCAGGUGAUCUACCCUUGGUCAGGUUGAAGUUCAGGUAACACUGAAUGGAGGACCGAACCGACUUACGUUGAAAAGUGAGCGGAUGAACUGAGGGUAGCGGAGAAAUUCCAAUCGAACCUGGAGAUAGCUGGUUCUCUCCGAAAUAGCUUUAGGGCUAGCCUCAAGUGAUGAUUAUUGGAGGUAGAGCACUGUUUGGACGAGGGGCCCCUCUCGGGUUACCGAAUUCAGACAAACUCCGAAUGCCAAUUAAUUUAACUUGGGAGUCAGAACAUGGGUGAUAAGGUCCGUGUUCGAAAGGGAAACAGCCCAGACCACCAGCUAAGGUCCCAAAAUAUAUGUUAAGUGGAAAAGGAUGUGGCGUUGCCCAGACAACUAGGAUGUUGGCUUAGAAGCAGCCAUCAUUUAAAGAGUGCGUAAUAGCUCACUAGUCGAGUGACACUGCGCCGAAAAUGUACCGGGGCUAAACAUAUUACCGAAGCUGUGGAUUGUCCUUUGGACAAUGGUAGGAGAGCGUUCUAAGGGCGUUGAAGCAUGAUCGUAAGGACAUGUGGAGCGCUUAGAAGUGAGAAUGCCGGUGUGAGUAGCGAAAGACGGGUGAGAAUCCCGUCCACCGAUUGACUAAGGUUUCCAGAGGAAGGCUCGUCCGCUCUGGGUUAGUCGGGUCCUAAGCUGAGGCCGACAGGCGUAGGCGAUGGAUAACAGGUUGAUAUUCCUGUACCACCUAUAAUCGUUUUAAUCGAUGGGGGGACGCAGUAGGAUAGGCGAAGCGUGCGAUUGGAUUGCACGUCUAAGCAGUAAGGCUGAGUAUUAGGCAAAUCCGGUACUCGUUAAGGCUGAGCUGUGAUGGGGAGAAGACAUUGUGUCUUCGAGUCGUUGAUUUCACACUGCCGAGAAAAGCCUCUAGAUAGAAAAUAGGUGCCCGUACCGCAAACCGACACAGGUAGUCAAGAUGAGAAUUCUAAGGUGAGCGAGCGAACUCUCGUUAAGGAACUCGGCAAAAUGACCCCGUAACUUCGGGAGAAGGGGUGCUCUUUAGGGUUAACGCCCAGAAGAGCCGCAGUGAAUAGGCCCAAGCGACUGUUUAUCAAAAACACAGGUCUCUGCUAAACCGUAAGGUGAUGUAUAGGGGCUGACGCCUGCCCGGUGCUGGAAGGUUAAGAGGAGUGGUUAGCUUCUGCGAAGCUACGAAUCGAAGCCCCAGUAAACGGCGGCCGUAACUAUAACGGUCCUAAGGUAGCGAAAUUCCUUGUCGGGUAAGUUCCGACCCGCACGAAAGGCGUAACGAUUUGGGCACUGUCUCAACGAGAGACUCGGUGAAAUCAUAGUACCUGUGAAGAUGCAGGUUACCCGCGACAGGACGGAAAGACCCCGUGGAGCUUUACUGUAGCCUGAUAUUGAAAUUCGGCACAGCUUGUACAGGAUAGGUAGGAGCCUUUGAAACGUGAGCGCUAGCUUACGUGGAGGCGCUGGUGGGAUACUACCCUAGCUGUGUUGGCUUUCUAACCCGCACCACUUAUCGUGGUGGGAGACAGUGUCAGGCGGGCAGUUUGACUGGGGCGGUCGCCUCCUAAAAGG